AGAAUGAACGCUGGCGGCGUGCUUUACACAUGCAAGUCGAGCGAGGCGGCCCGCAAGGGUCAGUCGAGCGGCGAACGGGUGAGUAACGCGUGGAUAACCUGCCCUGAGGUGUGGAACAACCAGGGGAAACUCUGGCUAAUACCGCAUGAUACCGAGAGGUCAAAGGGGGGCUCGCAAGGGCUCUCGCCACAGGAGGGGUCCGCGUUCGAUUAGCUAGUUGGUAGGUAAUGGCCUACAAGGCGACGAUCGAUAGCCGGCCUGAGAGGUGAUCGGCCACACUGGAACUGAGACACGGUCCAGACUCCGUACGGGAGCAGCAGUGGGAAUUUGCGCAAUGGCUAACGCUGACGCAGCAACGCCGCGUCGGAGAUGGAACGGUCCGUUGGAUUGUAAACGUCC
Molecule: ribosomal RNA, 399 nt
Filed under: uncultured soil bacterium
Lineage: Bacteria
Description: bacterial SSU rRNA
Rfam family: Bacterial small subunit ribosomal RNA
Source: RNAcentral